ACCUCUUCGAGGUCGAGUACGCCGGUUACGACUAGGGGGUGCUCUCGGGUCGUGACAAACUUGGUAUCAGAGCAUAAGUUUCUGGGAUGGUCUUAGGUUGUCUCAUAACAACAUCUAGUAGAGUCUUGUUCAUAAUGUGAAGCGCGCCACAUUAUGAAUAGGAGGCUAUUGGGUGCUAAGAAAGUUUCACUUCUUCAUUCUUCUAGUCGUGCCAUGGAGUUUCUCUCUAUAAUGUCUUCCCUUGUUCCGUAUGUGAUGGUAAUUUGGGUGUAACUUUUGAGGAAGUUUUAAUGUUGCAAGGGUUGAGGAAGAGAGAAUGUUGGUUGUGAUGCCAACUAUGACUUGUUGAC
Molecule: long non-coding RNA, 350 nt
Filed under: Solanum tuberosum (potato)
Lineage: Eukaryota; Viridiplantae; Streptophyta; Magnoliopsida; Solanales; Solanaceae
Description: long non-coding RNA (STUB_LNC004836)
Source: RNAcentral